Molecule: small nucleolar RNA, 131 nt
Organism: Quercus robur (English oak)
Lineage: Eukaryota; Viridiplantae; Streptophyta; Magnoliopsida; Fagales; Fagaceae
Product: small nucleolar RNA snoR2/U65
Exons: 1
Source: RefSeq, a predicted model, not a curated record
AGUUCAAGAAGAGGAUUUUACCUGAGUUUGGAGUGUUUGGACCAAGAGCGAUUCUGUGUUUUGCAUCUCGAGAAGAACCUGUGGAUCUUAUAUAACAUUGGUCCACAGAUCUGUUUUCUGCAAUUACAUUU